Gallus gallus (chicken) is the source of this 8869-nucleotide long non-coding RNA. RefSeq lists it as uncharacterized. The record is from RefSeq and is a predicted model, not a curated record. NCBI's taxonomy places the organism in Eukaryota, Metazoa, Chordata, Aves, Galliformes, Phasianidae. The transcript is spliced from 5 exons.
GCCUCUCAGCCAACCACGCCCCUCAGCCGCCGUCUCGCUGUCACGUGGCCGCGCUGCCCCGUCGCGCCGUAACCAUGGCGACGGCGGUACACACGCGGCGGGCGCAGGCCGUGGCACGGCGGCCGCAGUGAGGGCUAUAGAAGUCGCCCAGCCCGCCGUGCUGCCGUCCCGAGGCCCUGCGGCCUGAAAAACCCUCGUGGGGCCUGGGCUGCCGGGUUUUUUUAUUGUUGGCUUUCUUUCUUUUUGUGAUUUGUUGAGUUUUAUCUUGUUUUAUGUAGGAGGUGUACUUAGUCUUGAGCGAGAAGGGGCUUGUUCCUACCCAGAGCAACGUCCCUGCAGCUCUCCUCAUACCCCCCUCCCCUGGCCUUGCUGGUAGUUAAGCAACUAUGGAAGAAGCCGAAGCAGAAGGAGGAGGAAGACACAAUCCCUGUCCCCCAAAACCUACCGUUCUGCUAUAGAAACAACCGUGUGUCACAGGUGGCAAAGGACAGGCUGGGGAGGAGGACAAAGAGAGAGCUCUCAUUCUGUCAAUUUAAUGAGUUCUUUCCUUAUCAGCUUCAGCCUUGUCCAGAUCUGCUAAGUGGCUUUUCUUAGAGAUCGAAUGGCUGUGAAUUGGUGCGGGGGAGCUUCUUUUGUUACGCGGCUGACCGGAUUUUCAGCAGUUCAAUCUCUGAAGAGCCGAGCUGUUCUCAGAGCAGAGCUGUUCUCAGCUGAAGGAGGCACGCAGAUGGCAGCUGGGCUCUUCUGGAAACCAGGGUUCAUGCAGGGCCGAGUUCUGAGGCCGCAGGGCUUCCCCCAGCAAUAUCCCGGGCCUCACAGGGUGGUACAGUGCUGGGGGGGAACUUCAGCCUUCCUUCAUUUGCAGAGGUGUUUGUAGCAUAGGGGUGCAGUGCACUGAAGGGAGCCUUUCUCUGAGUCCCCCAGCCCAGGAAAGGCAUUUGUGGGAAUAAGCUCUAAACCUCAACAUGCAGCCAUUCAUAGAGCUUUAACACAGACAAAGGCCACUUCCAUCAGCAAAGAGAAACCUCAAGGCUAAAAAGCCAAGCUGCAGGUGGUCCUUGCUUAGCGAGCAAGGAUAUAUAUCCUUUUCCAGCAGAGUGAAAAUUCAGUUGUCUUACAAAUUGCAACUUUAAAAGGGGACUACGUAUGCCUACACGUCCCAUCCAUCGUAUUUUCUUAGUGAUGUGAAAGCGCUUCCUCUCAAAGUUCUUAGGCUCCUUCUUGCUUCACUACAGCAGUUGGGAAACAAAGCCACGUUUCACCCAGCAGACGCAGACAUGCAGCACAUCUCAUGUGCCACCAAAAGCAGCCCUUUGCACCAUGCAGCCCAGUGGAGUUUUUUCCCCUGUUUUGACUCAGAUAACAUCUGUCUGGUGACUGGGUGACACCCAGCAGGAAAACACAUCUGAGCUUUGUAGCAGGAGCUGACAGCACUCAUGUGCUACUGCUUUUAGAGAGCUGAGACACGUGAACAGACAGCUAGAGCUGUGCUGGCUCUGAUUAAAUUAAGUGCUGUGGAGUCAGCCUCCUGAAUCCCUGCUUGCUGGGAAUUAAUCACACAGAGGUGAGAGCCUGCGUCCUGUGACAGGCUCUACUAUCACCACUAUUACAUUGUAAUGAACCAUUUAUGAGCGACCCUUAUGAACGACCACUUGGAUGCACGUAGGGGCACUGACAGAACUUCAGAUUUUGUUUUUGUUUGCCUACCGACCUGAACAUCAACUGCUUAAAAGCUACCAACUGCCUCAAAAUAGUUACAGCUGCAUUUAAGAGCCGUGGAUGUAGAAUCCACGCAAGAAUAGGUACCUUCACUGAAACUAUGCCAAAUAUAUUCAUACAAAUAGGCACACACAAAAAAAAAAUGAGUAGAUGCCUCUGCCCACUUUGUUGGUGUGCACGGUUAUUUUUAAGUGUAUUCAAAACCUUGGCAAGCCAGAACUGAAACUGCUCUUGUUCACAGCCCCAGCCGAUGCACACCAUGCACUGUCACAGCCGUCACGCACACACAGCCUUCUCAGAAGCUGCCUCGUGCUUCUGUUGAGGCAAAGAGGUGCUGUGCUCGUGCCUUGGAAUCCGUACACCACAUCAAUAGCGAAAGGCAAACAACACGCCAAGGAGCUGAAUAGACACAGGUUAUCUUGUUCGCUGCAACCGCUUGCAAACGGCAAAGGCGGCCCUGCAGAAGUCGAGUGCCUUGCCCUGUUUCUAUCAUCGGGCCUCCUCUUGGGUUGCCUGCUUCCUACGAGACCUGGUUCCCAGACAGGUUCUGAAAGAACAACGCCCUGAAGCAAGAGAUUACCAGACAGCUUGGCUGCAUUUCAUCCUGAGCCACGGGGGCUUCAAGCAGAGCUCCCCGAGCUCUUUACCACAAUACACACUGCUCCUCCAGCAGCAAGCACAGAAAGCAGAAGCUGUCGCGGUGCAUUAACUGGUAGAAAGAAUAUGCUUAGAUAUGCCUGACAUCCCACUUGCAGAGUCCAAUGUCAUCCUUCGAACCACUUCCUCCUCGUCAGCAGCUUCCUGUGUGAUUUCCGGCCUUGUUGUGUAAGGGCAGCGCAAAUGAAAGGAUUCCUCGUUUACAGAAAGCCAUUUUCUGUCCUCAGCAGCUUCUCCUUCAACUCUACUUACAAAAUCCCUUUUAAAAGCAGUUUCCUAACAGGUUGGUUAACAUAGGAACAUAAAACCUCACUGUUUCUGUUACAAAAGGUGUUGUCUGAGAAAGAGUACAGCAGGGUUUCUAUUGCACACACAUGAGUUAGUUUUUCACUUAAAUCACUCGGGGAUCUUAAUAGCUACAAAUGUCUCGGGCUUUAUUUCCUGAAGAAAUUAAUUUCCUUUCCAUCCCCAUCCAAAAUCCACUCUGAAGAGCAAAUGUACUCCGAGUAAUUUGCAUGCACCGUGCACCAUUCCUACUAUGGUGAGGAUAUCGCUCCCUCCCACGGACACUAAAGCUGCUUACUCAGUGCUGAAGGCCAAACUCUAAUAAUGCUUUGAUGGAUCCUAAACUGAGGUAAGUUGGCAUCUCCCGGCAGCUCCAGAAACUGAGCUUCGGCAGAAAUAUAACCUCCUUUGUACACAAUUAGAUUCUUUUAGUCUCACUAAAAUUGCCACCCACCUUCUAUUGUGUGCUAUAAACCUUCCAAACAGCCUGAACUUUCCUCUUUUUUUUUUAUUAAUAUGUAAAUUAAAUCAGUUUACCUUCCUGCUAGUCAUCUUCAUCUGGGUACAAAGUAAUCUAAGGAGAACCCAGCUGAGACAAAGGCAGGCUGCUUAUCCUCCACCAUAUCCUCCUGCUUUUUUUCCACAUCUAGUUGGCUUGUCUGCUUAGAGUCAAGCCCAUUUACUCCACCUCUUUUGUUGUUAAGAACACUGUCAAUGAACUAAACCCAAGGAGCUGUGCAGCACAGACGAAAUGCAAGGCUCGUGAAGACCAAACACAUUCGUUGCUCCUGACCAACAGCGCUUCCUGUGAUAAGAAUAGUUUCUGCUUACCACAAGCAGUCACGAACUUAUGCACAAAUUCCACUUUCUGAGAACUAAAUCAGUGUGCCUCAGGCUGACCUUCAUGUGAAUCUGGGCAGGUUUGGUUCACACGGCUCGGCAAAAAACAAUCUCAGCUCCUGGAGUUCGUCCACAGGUCUGCACUCAUUCACCCCAGGCUUUUCAGCUCUGGCAGGCAGCUCGCCACAUUUCACCCACAGCAGUUCUGAUAAAUCCACCUUUGGUGUAAUUUCCACCUGCAGCCUUUAAGCACCUUGCAUUAAUUCUGCGCUCGAGGUUGAACACAGAAGGUGGACUUCAGGUUUAUUGUAGAAUGCUGGUAUGACUCCAAGGAACCUGUUUCGGUAGCAACAAGCUGAAUUCAGCAGCAGUUUCUGUUUUACACAGGUUGUUUUCCUAGAUCGUUGACAUCACCCCGCCUGCCUGGGCUCCUCUGCUGUGAUGACAUCCUCACCGUGUGACCCCCUUGCCUUUGAGAGCUGUGGCUUUCCAGAAUCAUGAUUUUGGUUAGCAUACCUGAGCCACACAUACACAGCAGCAGCAGCAAAUGAUGAACAUAAGAGCUCUCCAAGUCCCAGUUGUAACAGUGGAGCUGAUGUCUGCAAUCCUCAGUUAUCUAAUUACCCUUUGUGGCUUCAGUAAAACGAAGACAGUGCUACUUGGGAUCUUCCCAAGCCCCCCAGGACUCGGUUGGUUAGCAUAUGUGAAAGGUUAGGAUUUGUAUGACGCUUUCUGAACAGCAGAUGCAUUUGGAUUUCCCAGUGGCUUGCACCUUCUUCAUUGCUUUCAGCCAAAAGUAAUCAGCAUAUCACAUGCAAAGCAGUAUCUAGCAUCUUUGCACUUCUCGUUUUAUACUUGGCGAGGUCGUACGAGACUUUCACGGCUUUGACUCCUGCCCUCAUGCAGCUGGGAUGGCCACUGGCAACCUCAGUGCUUGGACCGAGCUGGAGCUGCAGUUCCAGGAAUGUGGCCUGACCCAGUCCCCUGUGAUGGAGCUGGGAUUGCUCCAACUCCUCAGUGGAGCUUCACUGACUUGCAGUGACCAGUGCCUGGCCAUCUCCUUCCUGCCUUUGAUUUUGGUUUGUUCACAGACCAUGGUGGAACCAAGGAGGGACGUCAACCUCAAGAUACACUUGGCAAGCUGACAUGGCCAGAGCUACUGGAAAAACACCAGCACAGACAGCCAUUUCCCCAUGAUCCCCAGAUAUUUACAACCUUCCAGUUCUACUGAGCAGGUUGCUUUGCAAUUGACAACAGAAAGAAAGGUGGCUUCAAGACAGAGAGAUUCCUACGCACCAGAGAUUAUUCCACAGACCAGAGGCACCUCUCCAUUUAAUGCAGCCCAACAGAAGGUAACACACCUGGUCUUCACCAAGACAGCCCAUUGAUAAGAAAAUGAAAACCACACUGGCCUUCCAUGCCUUCACAGUGGAUACCAAGGAAGCCAAGCCUAGCACAGACAGAGCAAAAGAGAGAGGCCAUGGUCUUCAGGCUGACAAGGGCUGCAGAAGCCUGCAAUCAUCUCAAAACCUGAGACUGCUAUCAGGAGCUGAGGCUCUUCAAGUAAAUUCCAUGAAGGGACCUGGAACUCCAGCAUGCAGAGCCAGGACUGGCAGCAGCGGGGAGAGCUCAGUCAUACACCACUCAUCAGCUCUAAGCUGAGGGAAUCACCACGAGGGAAAGAGGAGAGGCAAAGGAAAUAAAUCAUCUGAUAUCCUGUCAGCAAACUGCCAUCAGUGCUUUGAGACUGGAGGCGUUUCUCCUGCCCCAGAAGAGCAUUGAAAAAAAAAAAGUCUAGCUGAUAACUUGGACAGGGUUCAGGUAUGUUUGUGUGCAUACCAGCAGUUAAACUGAUUUCUUCCACUAUCUUAUCUGUCCAUUUCUGGCUUUGAAGGGGAAGAAGUUUGGCAGGCGAGUUGCUCUUGGAAUGCACUCAGUAAACCAUGGACAGGAGAACCAAGGAGCAUAAAUAGAAGUAGCCAUAGGUGUAGCAGCUGGGAGCCUGACUUCUGGCUUCUAUUCCGAGCUCUACUCAUGACUCACUUGACGACCUUGGAAAGCCACUUCACCUCUCCCUGCUCCAGCAUUCUCACAGGCACAGCUCACCCAUUUCACAGGUACCCCAGGCAGAGGAACCCCACUGCUUCCAGCUGGGUAAGCAAUUCUGGAGGAAGGACCUCAUCCCUCUUCCUCUGUUAGCCCCAGGCCAUUCAGCCCCACAGGUCAGGGCACCUGGAGGGGAACUGGCAACUUGAACCAAGUGCAUCUCGUGAAGCUUUUUGGGAUCCGUCAAGGAAAGGAAAAGCACUUUAACAAGAUGUUGCUAAUUAUAGCUUGACAGCACAUAACACAUUCCUGCUCUGGACAGAGCUCUGCUAUCAGCCAACUCAAUUAUACAUUAUCUUUGCCCAAUUCCCUCCUUAUUAAUUGUGACCAAAGCACUGAAUAAAGCCAAAUUUCUGCUUGCUCUCCAUUUCUCCUUAUUCAAGACCAGUUCCUUGACAGCAACAGUGAGACUGCAAGGCUGCUAUGUGGGGCUGCCUGCACUCCCUGCCCCCAGCCUGCAGUAAAUGUGUCUCUCCACUUUUAUUCCUGCCUGCCCAGAGCAGAUUCCUUGGAUGCUAACGCCUUGGAUCUCCAUGACUGAAGCAGGAUGGGGCUGUGCUGUCACCCCAGCAGACGCCCUGCCACAGGCCAUUGGAAAGCAGAGCCCCUUUCUUCCAAGUGCUCUGCAGCAUCCUGCUCCAGUUGGAGCAUGCAAGAGCCCAGGCUUCUUCAAACCCUCUGCAUCCAGACCCCCCCAAGGAACUGGGAUUUGGCAUUGGCAGCAGGCAGGAAAAAUGCAGCAAAACCCAAUGCCCACAUACACCAUGAGCCCUUCUGUGCAUCAGGGGCAACAGCAGCAUGAAGGCAUCCCAGAUCAACCCGAUUUCUAUAUAAAAACAGGAAACAGCCCCUCCCUCCACCAAAAGGGAGGAAGAGCUUCCUGGCCUGUAUCUGUGUCACUGAGAAACAAGGCAGGAACAAACAGCUCGCUCCUUCUAAUCCUAGAGCGCAUCUGAAACAGCAGACACUUCAGUGAAUCCCUUCUAGGGGUACUCCUAAAUCUGUCCCCAGCACAGUUCCUGGAAAACAGCGAGAUCUCUGCUCCCACAGGGCUCAGAGACAGAUGGCCUCAGACUUCUCCUAACACCCACUUCCCGCAGGAGAAGCAGAUGGGAGCUGUGCUACAAGCCACAGGGCAGGGUUACCUCCUGAUGUGCCCAGGGAUGCAGGCAUCUCACAUGGGGCCGCUGCUCUAAAUCCAGCUUGAGCUCAUAGCAGCUGGCCCUCAGCACUUACAGUUAUUUGGUGCCCUGCAGGAGAUAAGCACUUGCCCAGGAGCCCACCAGCUCCCUUCCCCUCCAGCAGACAAAGCUGGGAUUGAUUCAAGCUCUAGAAAAAACAAACAACCCUUUGCCUUCAGAAGCAGUGCUUCCCACGCUGCACUGAGCGUUUUAGGGCAGGUUCUUACAUGUCACUUUUACUCACGUACUGAAAGUUAGGGUGCAGGGAUGUCAGGUUGAAUGUUAGGAAACGUUUCUGCUCAGAAGGAGCGGUGAUGCGGUGGCACAGCUGCCCAGGGGGUGGUGGGGUCACUGUCCCUGGAGGUGUCCCAGAGCCAUGGAGAUGUGGCACUGAGGGACGUGGGCAGUGGGCACAGUGGAGUGUUGAGUUGGGGAUCGUGGAGGUCUUUCCCAACCUUAAUAGUUCUGCAUCGAGUUGUACCUACCCCAUCCCACAUCCAUUACACGUGGCACUGCGGCCACAUGAGCCAAGCCAGGAUGUCUUACUGAAGUAAAUCCUGACCUGUGUUUGCUCUGGCAUGCCAUGCGUGUAUUUCAGGCCAUAAUCAAAGCCUUCAGUACCAUCUGAUCAGGUAGAAAGAGGGACUGUACAACAUUAAGCCAAAAAAAAAACACAUACAGGAAUCAUUCUGCACAUAAAAGCAGUCAGCUUAGCAUAUGUGAGAAACCUCAGGGUCAUGAGUGCUGCUCCUGACAAUGAUUCCUGGACCUUGCUAUGUCAAAACAGAAAUACCAGAAUGAUACUCAGAGUCACCAACCAUCGCCUGCUUUGCCUGCUGCCAUGUAGCUCGCAGGUCGUGCACACUUGUUUAGAUGCAUCUGCAUAGGAAUCCAAACUGCAAAUAAAGAGCUGCAGCAGAAGUUGUGGUUUUGUUAUUACUGCUCAAGACAGAGACUACAUGAGAAAAAAAACACUUUCCAGUUCAGAUGGAGGAAAUGGAAAGCACAAAGGCUCUGUUUGCUGCUCAGCAGGGUGGAUUUCUAAUGAACUGCUUCUACCAAAUAACUGAGAGAUGAGGGAGCAGUGUGGAGAGGUGCUUUCCGCACAAGAAUGAAAAUCAGAAUACCAUUCCUGGACGAGGUUACACAACCAGGAGUAGUUUUUAAUCUUCCCCCCCUCUUGUGCUAAAUAUUUUGCUUCCAUUGUAAACACUUGACCUCCACUUCUCAAUGCUUCCCCUCAGUUACCCCCAUCUACAUCUCCCCCCUCCAAACAAAGAGCAGAGGCUUCCCUUCAGCUCUCCAACAUACCUGCACCAGCAGUUCCAUCCAUCUGCAGGCUUUCAGAGACCACCCAGAACCACCUUCGUGUCCAUGGACGAAAGGCUUCCAGAGCAGCUCUCAGCUCCUCCCAGAUGGUAAAACUGGUGAGCUCUCAGUGCAGAUGGGUGGCAGCAGCCUGGAUCCCAGGCUUUUCCCAUCCUCUAGUCAAGAAAAGGGCAUGGAUGUGCAGACACCACCUGCCUUGAUUUCAGCCAGAAAAGAAGUCCACCCAGCUCCAUUUUGUCUUCACUGUUACCCCUUCUGACUUCUUCCUGACGCACUGCAUUACGGCUGCUCAGCCAUUGCUCCAACAGCAAUGGGGGCUCGAGGGAAAGAUCGUACAUCCCUGAGAAGCUCAGAUGAAAGACCAUAGAGGUAACAUGGACUGUUGCUACUACUACACCUGGCAGCGCAAUCCACAGCUAAACGAGCUCUAAACUGCAAAAAGAUUUAUGCCCCGCUUCGGUCUCCUUCACAGUUUCACUGCAUGAACAGGAUUGUAGUGUGGUUAAAUCCCCUGCGUGGAAAGCAGCUCGUAGGCAGUUUGCUACACACAAGUAUUUCCUUUGGUCUUGACCGAGUUAAGGAGCAGCAGGGCCAGCUGCUUCCCAAAGGAGUCAGGAGGGCAAGAAGGGAUGUCACCAGCCAGGGUCCAGCCUCAAAGUGGGGCAGAGCAGCUCCAGGGGUCACCCCAGUGUUCAUCCAAGAGCCCCCAGGGUCACCAAGCAAGCUCACAGCGAUGAGGCAGACCAGUAAAA